UACGUAGGCGGAAAAUUAAGUCAGUAGUGAAAUCCUGCAGCUUAACUGUAGAACUGCCUUUGAUACUGUUGAUCUUGAGUCAUUAUGAAGUGGUUAGAAUGUGUAGUGUAGCGGUGAAAUGCAUAGAUAUUACACAGAAUACCGAUUGCGAAGGCAGAUCACUAAUAAUGUACUGACACUGAGGGACGAAAGCGUGGGGAGCGAACAGGAUUAGAUACCCUGGUAGUCC
RNAcentral lists this ribosomal RNA (229 nucleotides) under uncultured bacterium. RNAcentral's name for it is "partial 16S ribosomal RNA". It matches the Rfam family "Bacterial small subunit ribosomal RNA", at positions 568 to 796 of the family's 1533-position model. The record is from RNAcentral.